Molecule: ribosomal RNA, 700 nt
Filed under: Saitoella complicata
Lineage: Eukaryota; Fungi; Ascomycota; Saitoellomycetes; Saitoellales; Saitoellaceae
Description: SSU rRNA
Rfam family: Bacterial small subunit ribosomal RNA
Source: RNAcentral
AAGGGUACAAACGUUUAUUCAUAUUUACUAGGUUUAAAGGAUACGUAGACUGUUUCUUAAAGAAACUAGAGUUAAAUAGAUGGUUCUGUAACUAAUGAAAGUACCGAUAAAAAUGGGUUGAGAUUAUUAGGAACGUUAAAGGCGAAAGCAAGAAUCAAAGGUAAUGACUGACGUUGAGGUAUGAAGGCUAUGGAAGUGAAAAGGAUUAGAUACCCUUGUAAUCUUAGCUGUAAACGAUAUUGAUUAGUAAUUAGAUGUCUUAUUGGGAUAACCUAGAUAAUAAGACACGUUAGUUAUUGUGAAGAAAUUCUUAAAUCAAUCACCUGAAUAGUAUAGUCGCAAGGCUGAAACUUAAACCAUUUGAGAGUUGUUAUUAGCAGAGUGAAGUUUGAUGUUUAAUUCGAUGAUCCACGUAUAAUCUUACCAUAUCUUGUAUAUUCAUAUAAUAUGAUUACAGGUAUUGCAUGGUUGUCUUCAGUUCAUUCCGUGAGGAUAGGUUUAUUCCACCAAUGAACGUAACUCUACUCCUUAUUUAUAUAAUUAAGGAUGGUCCAUUAAGAAAAUGGAUUUAUUAGAAUUAAGACAAAUCAUUAUGGUCCUUAUGAUAUGGGCUACAAUCGCGCCACAAUGAUAUUUACAAUAUUAAGCAAUCUUCUAUAAAGGAAAGCAAAAAGAAAAGAUAUCAAGUUCGGAUUAUCCU